Molecule: small nuclear RNA, 318 nt
Filed under: Sorex araneus (European shrew)
Lineage: Eukaryota; Metazoa; Chordata; Mammalia; Eulipotyphla; Soricidae
Description: 7SK RNA (ENSSARG00000016581.1)
Rfam family: 7SK RNA
About the family: 7SK was discovered as an abundant small nuclear RNA in the mid-70s but a possible function has only recently been suggested.
Source: RNAcentral
GGAUGUGAGGGCUAUCUGGCUGCGACAUCUGUCACCCCAUUGAUCGCCAGGGUUGAUUCGGCAGAUCUGGCUGGAUAGGCGGGUGUCCCCUUCCUCCCUCACCACUCCAUGUGCGUCCCUCCUGAAGAUGUGCACUUGUAGAAGAGGAUAGCCUUCCCCGAAUAGAGACGGACCGGUCUUCGGUCGAAGGUAUACGAGUAGCUGCGCUCCCCUGCUAGAAACUCCAAACAAGCUCUCAAAGUUCUAACAUCGGAAAAUUUGAUAAUAUGUUUUUUGAGUGACAAUAGCAGUGCUCAGGGAUUAUUCCUGGCUCAGUGC